UACGUAGGUGGCAAGCGUUGUCCGGAUUUACUGGGCGUAAAGCGUGCGCAGGCGGUCUGCUAAGAGAGGUGUGAAAUCCCCGGGCUUAACCUGGGAACUGCGCUUCUAACUGGCAGGCUUGAGUGUGGCAGAGGGGGGUGGAAUUCCACGUGUAGCAGUGAAAUGCGUAGAGAUGUGGAGGAACACCGAUGGCGAAGGCAGCCCCCUGGGCUAACACUGACGCUCAUGCACGAAAGCGUGGGGAGCAAACAGG
This 253-nucleotide ribosomal RNA is filed under the name uncultured bacterium. RNAcentral describes it as "partial 16S ribosomal RNA". It matches the Rfam family "Bacterial small subunit ribosomal RNA", at positions 524 to 776 of the family's 1533-position model. The record is from RNAcentral.